UUAUGGUGUCAUGGUCAUUGUUGACCGUACAUAUGAUUCCAACAAUUGCUUUGCAACUUAUGUGGGGAUUAUAGGACGGUCACCAGAGACAUUUGACAUCAAUGA
Molecule: microRNA precursor, 105 nt
Filed under: Medicago truncatula (barrel medic)
Lineage: Eukaryota; Viridiplantae; Streptophyta; Magnoliopsida; Fabales; Fabaceae
Description: miRNA gene39775
Rfam family: MIR2587 microRNA precursor family
Source: RNAcentral